Homalodisca vitripennis (glassy-winged sharpshooter) is the source of this 371-nucleotide long non-coding RNA. RefSeq lists it as uncharacterized. The record is from RefSeq and is a predicted model, not a curated record. The transcript is spliced from 3 exons. Lineage: Eukaryota; Metazoa; Arthropoda; Insecta; Hemiptera; Cicadellidae.
AGUCUGCCGGGGAUAUUCUGGAAGCUGAGUUGAGGGGAGAAUACGAACCCGAGGUCCUGGCCUCCCAGCGCCGGCGUGCAGCCCGCUCGUCUAUCGCCGGGCUUCCUCAUCAUCACCACUUCGCUUCCCAAGUCUGGGAGAGACGAUGGUCACGGAGCUCAGUACACCCGUAUACCAAUGCCUUCUUACAAGACGCGUUCGGUCCACCAACAGGGGGGGCAACUGUGGAAGAGGAUCUUCCCGGAACCCCUCUGCCAGAGGAUACUCAUCCUUCGUGCAAGGAUGAAGUGAAAGUGCCACUCAGAGAGGAGGUACAAGAGGAGGAUAGCGCGCCCGUCGAGUUCUCCACAGGAGGCAUACCUUCCUUCAAA